GGGUUUCCAUACAAAAAUUUAUUUUAUUAAAAAGACUGGCCAAGAAUUAUUAAAAAAUAAAUAAAUAAACAACAACCAACACAGGCAGGCAUUGGUCAAAUAAAACGGUCACAAGAAGAAUUUAACAAUAAUCAUAGGAGGACUGAGGCUUCCUGUAUGAAGAGCAAGCUAGUACGACAGCACCAGCUAUACAAAAGGGAAAAGAACCCCACCAAUCAGAAUCAUACCCACAAAAUUCACUGCAAAUAAACACAGCAAUAAUAAAAACACAAGAAAAAUCAAUUACAAUAUGCUCAAAGCAGGCAAACAAAAGAAUAAAAAAAAUUUUUUUUAAAAAGACAAAACAAAAACAACUGUCACAAAAACACAAAGAUAACACAGAGCUCAAAAUGAUUACUGGUAGCAAGUUUUCCAAGACUGGCCAAAACCACUGUUACUGCAUAGCGGUAUCAGCACAAUUGAUAAAGACUAAACACAGAUGAAUUUGAGAAACUGGGCUUAGUGACAGUAACCAACACAAAGCAAAACAAAGAAAAACAAUGCAAAGCAGCCCAAAACAGCAAAAUAAAGCAACGUUUCUCCGCAAGUGAGCUAUACCGAAACAAACACACCUCACUCUGCCUGCCUUAACACAUGCAAAAUUGAGGACCCUAAGAACAACAAACAGGUGUUACAACCUCAAUUUGGAAAGCAUGCUAGAUCAUUUAGCUCGAAUAAUAGAACUAAACGAUUUACCUACCGUGAUCCGAUGAUAUAAUACUCACGAUGGCACAUACUAAAAUCAUGAUAGCUUCUUUAAUAGUUGUGACAGCAACAGCUGGCGCUCCGAUCGGGGCUACGUUAAACUGCCAUGCUACACAGAUGGGAGCCUUGACGGCACACCGCACUGAGAGUGAGCAGCACACCACCCAUGCACACAGUCUCGGUAGCCCAACAUCACACUAAACAAGUAAAUCGCAUGGUAAGUGGUCAAUGCUAGCAUCAAACAGCUAAGCUAAAAAACUAAAAACAUGUACCUCUGUAGUCUGAGAAUAAACCCUGGUCAAACAAGGAGUUAAAAAAAAAAACCUGAAUAUGGCACUGUGGUGAAUAGGCACGUUAUCUGGUUGUCAUAGUAACCACACCUAUAUUGAAUGAUGCCUUGGUUCACUUUCAUUGUGCAACUACAGCACAAUGAAAGUUGAAGGCAACAUGUGUAUACACAAAGGUUAGAUUGACUCUGAUGUAAGUGGACAUUGAUAUGCAACCCCAAUUCCAAAAAAGUUGGAACAGUGUGGAAAAUGCAAUAUAUAUAUAUAUACACAUGUUUCAUGAAUACAUACAAUCAAGUGAAAAAACAAGUACAUCCAUUGGAAAUUUUUUACAAAAAAA
Molecule: long non-coding RNA, 1371 nt
Organism: Ictalurus punctatus (channel catfish)
Lineage: Eukaryota; Metazoa; Chordata; Actinopteri; Siluriformes; Ictaluridae
Source: Ensembl